Long non-coding RNA from Neofelis nebulosa (Clouded leopard), 2308 nucleotides. RefSeq lists it as uncharacterized. The transcript is spliced from 5 exons. NCBI's taxonomy places the organism in Eukaryota, Metazoa, Chordata, Mammalia, Carnivora, Felidae. The record is from RefSeq and is a predicted model, not a curated record.
AGUCGGGUUUUACCAUUGACCAGAACCCUUCUUGUCCCCAACUGGGGUGGCUGGUCACUCUGCUCGAACUGCCCAUUUCCAAUCUCCUGACCUAGCCGCUGUUCUAACAGUCCAUGUUCGAGGACUUUCUUAGGUCACCAGGGACCAGUUUGCUCUUGCAUACUUAAAAUUAUGCAAUUGGCAGUUAACGCCAGUGGGAGCAGCUCUCCAACAAGGAUCGACAGGCGCUGGUAGCUAAACCUCUUAGCGCUUUCAACCCUAAAAUGGGGUAACUCUGAGGCUUACGUUCUAUGCUGGCUCCCAGAGUUCCCCGAUGGGAUUAAGCUCCGAUUGACUGUAGUAGUAACUUGGGUGAAAACACACCCUCCAUCGACUGCCUUCUUUUCCCUGUCUCAUUCCCUCAAGCUCCAAAUGGUGCCACCUGGGAUCGUCUCCCAAGUAAUCUACUUGUACUCGAGAUCUUUGUGUCAGGGUCUCCUCGUCCGGGAACCCAAGCUAAGGCACGCGACUCUCUCCCCCACUUCCGGGUCUCUGUCUAUGCGGUUAAAACGAGACUGACCCCAUCCCCCAACUCCAGGGAUGGGCACAUGACUCGGAGCUGACCAAUCACACCACCAUACCUCUUUGGCUACAGCGAUUGGUUCAGGGGUCGUCACGUGACCCCCAACCAGGCCAAUGACAGCUUCUUCCUGGACUUCCACCGAGACGAUUGGGAACAUGAACCUUUUUCUGCUGCGGUCCCCAAACUCUUGGGAUGUUAGGUUGGGGGCCGGUGUUCUCUGAGGAUGAAGCCGCCUCAGAGGAUACUGGUGCUGAGCUGAGGAAGCGAAAUCAGAUCCAGGUGGCCUUAGUGCAUCCCUGGUUCCAGCGCAGUGUAUAAUUUUAAGUGCCGUUUAUUAGCCUGGUCCAUCCUGAGCUCUCCUGCUCCCCACAGGCAGGCCUAUUUCCCAUAGCUCCUCGGGUUUGCCCUCCCUAUCUGGCCCCUCGAGUGACAGGGUUUGCAGUCCCUGGGUUUGGCCGGGAAAUCGUUCUUGCCUGAGUGUUCUGAGUUGCUUUAGCAACAUCGUGGAGCAAGGGGAGUUACCAACGUUUAAGGUGGCGGAAUAACCUGUUUGAGAAAUCAACUACUUUUCAUUUCCUCAACUCCAGAGUCAUUGGGAAAGAAUGAAAGAACCGAAUUUUGCGGGACCAAGGAGCAGCGUGCAAGGCCCAGCGGAUGAAUUCUGUUUGGUCUAAGCCAGCAUGGGAAUCCUGUCUCCCUUUGACCUAGUCUUGGGGUGAGUCGGUACGUGGGCUAUAAGAGUGUCCCGAACGCCACUGCUAUGCCAGGACGGCAGGCCAUACCUCCACUGUGCUUAAAAGAGACGGACAGCUUCGUGAUCACGUCCACUAAACCCCACUGAGUGGACUCCCCAGUUCAGCUUUUUUUAGCGGAUCCGUCCAAGUGCCCAAGGCUCUCCCAUGUCACCUGACACUGAGGUGUUACAGAAUCACAAGACGCUGUGCCCACACUGAAAGGGCUGUCCAGUUGAGGGGUGCUGAACUCAUGCUUCAUCCACUUCUUGGCAGAUCUACCUCUGGGUUUACAGGAAAGCCAGGCAGGACUGGUUGUUGGACGGGAUGUAACAAAUGUUCUUGUGGCUUCCUGCCGGAAUGAGGCUCUGGUAGGAUGCUCCUCCGGGCCCUGCAGAGCCCCACCCAACAGCUGGGUCCUGUGCUCUGGCAAGCAGCCUCAGCCUUUCCCCAGAGGCAGGACUCGGUCUCGUCCCGAGGAAACAAAUUCCUGGCUGCUGGCACAGCUUCUGCAACUUGGCUCCCAUCUCUCUGUGGAUUGUCUCCUUCAGGUACAGAGCAUCACGGACACAUUACGUGGGGUUGGGCCGGUCCAUGGUGACCCCUCUCUUUGGAACAGGUGUGGGCACCCUAGGGAGUCAUGCUUACACCUGCACAACCCUACCCUCCAGCCGGAGUUGACUGGAUAAGGACGGGGACCUGAUUAACUGAGCCAACUGGAUCCUCUCUCCUGAGAUUUUGGGGUUAUGAUCUAGUGAUUUCCGUGAGCUGUUGCUUACGGGAUGGGUGCACCCUCAGGUGCUGUGAGGCAGCCAUAUUUGGUCAUGGGCUUGGGGAAGGAGAGAGAGAGGGAGGAGAAGCAGAGAGCAGAGAUGAAGGAAUCUGUGGGCAGAGUGGUAAAGGAACACAGAACACAGAUGCCACAAUUCCAGGUGACUUUUCAGACGCCGGUUCCAGAAAUGUCUGAAGCCACUGCGCUUCCUGCCCUGUGUUUGGCACGAUAACAGCGGUUCUC